UUAGGAGACUGCCCAGAAAAUUUUGUAAUAUUAAUCCAAAAGAUUAUUCAAUCCAUAACAGAACAGUUGCGCUGGUGCAAAGUUUGAUGUUGCUUGCAAGAAUGUGGAAUCCAGAGUCCACAAAGUUCAUCUUGUGGCUUAGAUAUACUUACAAGUGAUUGUACUGCAAAAAUGGUGUUACAUUAACCAUGCCCUACACUAUAUGAGUCAUCCAGCUCAGGUGCUCGCUCGCUCAGUAUAUGUACCAUAUAGUGAGGGAUAGGGGCUGUAUCUUUCGCACGAAAGAAUGAUUCAUCUUUGUUCGCACGAAUCCGCCGAUGGCGCAAGCAUCACUAUAAGGUUCAUGCAGGCUUAUGAAUGAGAAAGUUUGGAGUGCUUUGAGGCUGUGUA
Molecule: long non-coding RNA, 390 nt
Filed under: Phoenix dactylifera (date palm)
Lineage: Eukaryota; Viridiplantae; Streptophyta; Magnoliopsida; Arecales; Arecaceae
Description: long non-coding RNA (PDAC_LNC015677)
Source: RNAcentral